RNAcentral lists this ribosomal RNA (162 nucleotides) under Swartzia aptera. RNAcentral describes it as "5.8S ribosomal RNA". It matches the Rfam family "5.8S ribosomal RNA". Rfam says of the family: 5.8S ribosomal RNA (5.8S rRNA) is a component of the large subunit of the eukaryotic ribosome. It is transcribed by RNA polymerase I as part of the 45S precursor that also contains 18S and 28S rRNA. Functionally, it is thought that 5.8S rRNA may be involved in ribosome translocation. The record is from RNAcentral. Lineage: Eukaryota; Viridiplantae; Streptophyta; Magnoliopsida; Fabales; Fabaceae.
AAAUGACUCUCGGCAACGGAUAUCUCGGCUCUUGCAUCGAUGAAGAACGUAGCGAAAUGCGAUACUUGGUGUGAAUUGCAGAAUCCCGUGAACCAUCGAGUCUUUGAACGCAAGUUGCGCCUGAAGCCAGUAGGCCAAGGGCACGCCUGCCUGGGCGUCACA